Molecule: ribosomal RNA, 442 nt
Filed under: uncultured bacterium
Lineage: Bacteria
Description: partial 16S ribosomal RNA
Rfam family: Bacterial small subunit ribosomal RNA
Source: RNAcentral
CCUACGGGAGGCUGCAGUGGGGAAUAUUGGGCAAUGGGCGCAAGCCUGACCCAGCAACGCCGCGUGAAGGAAGAAGGCUUUCGGGUUGUAAACUUCUUUUAAGAGGGAAGAGCAGAAGACGGUACCUUUUGAAUAAGCUACGGCUAAAUACGGGCCAGCAGCCGCGGUAAUACGGUGGGGGCAAGCGUUGUCCGGAUUUACUGGGGGUAAAGGGCGUGUAGCCGGGCUGACAAGUCAGAUGUGAAAUCCCGUGGCUCAACCACGGAACUGCAUUUGAAACUGUCGGUCUUGAGUAUCAGAGAGGCAGGCGGAAUUCCUGGUGUAGCGGUGAAAUGCGUAGAUAUUAGGAGGAACACCAGUGGCGAAGGCGGCCUGCUGGACGACAACUGACGGUGAGGCGCGAAAGCGUGGGGAGCAAACAGGAUUAGAUACCCUAGUAGUC